Molecule: ribosomal RNA, 448 nt
Filed under: uncultured bacterium
Lineage: Bacteria
Description: bacterial SSU rRNA
Rfam family: Bacterial small subunit ribosomal RNA
Source: RNAcentral
UGGGGAAUAUUGGACAAUGGGCGCAAGCCUGAUCCAGCCAUGCCGCGUGAGUGACGAAGGUCUUCGGAUUGUAAAGCUCUUUUUGGCGGGGACGAUAAUGACGGUACCCGCAGAAUAAGCCCCGGCUAACUUCGUGCCAGCAGCCGCGGUAAUACGAAGGGGGCUAGCGUUGUUCGGAAUCACUGGGCGUAAAGCGCACGUAGGCGGAUGUGCCAGUCAGGGGUGAAAUCCCGGAGCUCAACUUCGGAACUGCCUCUGAUACAGCACGUCUUGAGUCCGAUAGAGGUGGGUGGAAUUCCUAGUGUAGAGGUGAAAUUCGUAGAUAUUAGGAAGAACACCGGUGGCGAAGGCGGCCCACUGGAUCGGUACUGACGCUGAGGUGCGAAAGCGUGGGGAGCAAACAGGAUUAGAUACCCACGUAGUCCCUGAGCGGGCUGGCAAGGCGCAU